GUACACGCUGUGACUAGCAUAUCAAUAAGCGGAGGAAAAGAAACUAACAAGGAUUCCCCUAGUAACGGCGAGUGAAGCGGGAAGAGCUCAAAUUUGAAAUCUUGAAAGGUCACCUUUCACGAAUUGUAGUUUAAAGAAGUGUUUUCUGUUACGAUCGUAAUAUAAGUUCUUUGGAAUAGGACAUCACAGAGGGUGAGAAUCCCGUCUAUGAUUGCGAUUUGUAGCUUUGUGAUACACUUUCAAAGAGUCGGGUUGUUUGGGAAUGCAGCCCAAAACGGGAGGUAAAUUUCUUCUAAGGCUAAAUAUUGGCGAGAGACCGAUAGCGAACAUGUACCGUGAGGGAAAGAUGAAAAGAACUUUGAAAAGAGAGUUAAACAGUACGUGAAAUUGUCAAAAGGGAAGCGUUUGACACCAGUGUUGUUUUCUCGAAAAUCAAUUAAAAAUGGCUCGAUUUUGUAUUGCUGAGACCUUAAAAGCUCACUGUACAUUUUUCGUGUCUUUUUUAAUGCACUUUUCGUUUAACAAGUCAACAUCAGUUUCUUUUGUUGUAAAAGGGUCAUUGGAAGGUGGCUUUCUUUUCGGAGAAAGUGUUUAUAGCCUUUGGCCUCUGCAAUCGAAGAGACUGAGGUCUGCAGCGUAGACUCUUCGGGGUUAGAUACAUUUGUGCUAAGUUAUAGCUUUUUAUAGACAACUUGUUGACUAUAAUUAGUCUUGUAGCUUACUCGCUUAUGCUAUUUUACCUACGCUUAGGAUGUUGACGCAUGAGAUAUACGC
Molecule: ribosomal RNA, 774 nt
Filed under: uncultured Neocallimastigales
Lineage: Eukaryota; Fungi; Neocallimastigomycota; Neocallimastigomycetes; Neocallimastigales
Description: partial large subunit ribosomal RNA
Rfam family: Eukaryotic large subunit ribosomal RNA
Source: RNAcentral